CCUACGGGUGGCAGCAGUGAGGAAUAUUGGUCAAUGGGCGGGAGCCUGAACCAGCCAAGCCGCGUGAGGGAAGAAGGUACAGCGUAUCGUAAACCUCUUUUGUCAGGGAACAAAGGCGGGGACUAGUCCACGGAUGAGGGUACCCGAAGAAAAAGCAUCGGCUAACUCCGUGCCAGCAGCCGCGGUAAUACGGAGGAUGCGAGCGUUAUCCGGAUUUAUUGGGUUUAAAGGGUGCGCAGGCGGAAGAUCAAGUCAGCGGUACAAUUGAGAGGCUCAACCUCUUCGAGCCGUUGGAACUGGUUUUCUUGAGUGAGUGAGAAGUAUGCGGAAUGGGUGGGGUAGCGGUGAAAUGCAUAGAUAUCACGCAGAACUCCGAUUGCGAAGGCAGCAUACCGGCGCUCAACUGACGCUCAUGCACGAAAGUGUGGGUAUCGAACAGGAUUAGAUACCCUGUAGUC
Molecule: ribosomal RNA, 458 nt
Filed under: uncultured bacterium
Lineage: Bacteria
Description: partial 16S ribosomal RNA
Rfam family: Bacterial small subunit ribosomal RNA
Source: RNAcentral